CUCCAUGGAUUCUCAUGAGCUCUGUGUUGCUGCUACUGGAGGCUGGUCUCCAAGGCAGUGGUAGCAUAGAAAGGGAGGAAUGAAGGCAUCAUGAGGAAAUACUAGACCAAAAGCAAGAAUAAAACCUGAAAGGGAAAAUAACAAAUCCUGUAGCUUCAUGUCCAGUGUCAAAAGGCAUGACUCUGCCCCUCCAGAUAUCCUGAUUGAAAUACAGCUUUCUCUCAGCUGGUUCCACUUCCUGUGAGGAGCUCAAAUGGACAGUCAUCUCCUAGUUUGCCGUGUCCAACGUCUUGUGUGCUUCAUCUUCUCAGCAUCAUGCAAUGGCCUCUCAGAACCGCUGGCCUCUCAGAGCUCUCUUCUCCAUGGAGUAAAGCUCUGCUACACUUGUCCUGGGCUCAGUAGCUCUCUGAAACCAAGGAGGAGGAAUCUACAAAACUGCUUCUUCCCUCUUUCACGUCUCCUCAGUCAGUAUGCAGGUGUAACAGCCAAUUUGGGAUGGACCUUGAACCUCUUGAAUUAUAUUUGGAGCAGCUUU
This is a long non-coding RNA of Peromyscus eremicus (cactus mouse), 535 nucleotides long. RefSeq lists it as uncharacterized. Lineage: Eukaryota; Metazoa; Chordata; Mammalia; Rodentia; Cricetidae. The transcript is spliced from 2 exons. The record is from RefSeq and is a predicted model, not a curated record.